GAAUCUUCCGCAAUGGGCGAAAGCCUGACGGAGCAACGCCGCGUGAGUGAUGAAGGUCUUCGGAUCGUAAAACUCUGUUAUUAGGGAAGAACAUACGUGUAAGUAACUGUGCACGUCUUGACGGUACUUAAUCAGAAAGCCACGGCUAACUACGUGCCAGCAGCCGCGGUAAUACGUAGGUGGCAAGCGUUAUCCGGAAUUAUUGGGCGUAAAGCGCGCGUAGGCGGUUUUUUAAGUCUGAUGUGAAAGCCCACG
Molecule: ribosomal RNA, 255 nt
Filed under: Staphylococcus haemolyticus
Lineage: Bacteria; Bacillati; Bacillota; Bacilli; Caryophanales; Staphylococcaceae
Description: partial 16S ribosomal RNA
Rfam family: Bacterial small subunit ribosomal RNA
Source: RNAcentral